GNNGNUCNGCUCAGUACACGUGGACACCUACCCUCCGGACGGGUAUAAACCCGGGAAACUGGGUAUAAUUCCCGAUAGAUCUCGGUCGCUGGAAUGCCCCGAGAUCGAAAGCUCCGGCGCCAGAGGAUGGGUCUGCGGCCUAUCAGGUAGUAGUGGGUGUAGCGUACCUACUAGCCUACGACGGGUACGGGUUGUGAGAGCAAGAGCCCGGAGAUGGAUUCUGAGACACGAAUCCAGGCCCUACGGGGUGCAGCAGGCGCGAAAACUUUACAAUGCCGGCAACGGCGAUAAGGGGACCUCGAGUGCCAGGUUACAAAUCUGGCUGUCGUGAUGCCUAAAAAGCAUUGCAUAGCAAGGGCCGGGCAAGACCGGUGCCAGCCGCCGCGGUAACACCGGCGGCUCGAGUGGUAACCGUUAUUAUUGGGUCUAAAGGGUCUGUAGCCGGCCGGAUAAGUCUCUUGAGAAAUCCAGCAGCUCAACUGUUGGGCUUUCAGGAGAUACUGUUCGGCUCGAGGCCGGGAGAGGUGAGAGGUACUUCAGGGGUAGGGGUGAAAUCUUGUAAUCCUUGAAGGACCACCAGUGGCGAAGGCGUCUCACCAGAACGGACCUGACGGCAAGGGACGAAAGCUAGGGGCACGAACCGGAUUAGAUACCCGGGUAGUCCUAGCCGUAAACGAUACUCGCUAGGUGUCGGCCACGGUGCGACCGUUGUCGGUGCCGUAGGGAAGCCGUGAAGCGAGCCACCUGGGAAGUACGGCCGCAAGGCUGAAACUUAAAGGAAUUGGCGGGGGAGCACCACAACGGGUGGGGCUUGCGGUUUAAUUGGAUUCAACGCCGGAAAUCUUGCCGGGACCGACAGCAAUAUGAAGGCCAGGCUGAACACUUUGCCGGAUCANNUGAAAAGUGGUGCA
This 911-nucleotide ribosomal RNA is filed under the name uncultured Methanosarcinales archaeon. RNAcentral's name for it is "bacterial SSU rRNA". It matches the Rfam family "Archaeal small subunit ribosomal RNA", at positions 80 to 994 of the family's 1478-position model. Lineage: Archaea; Methanobacteriati; Methanobacteriota; Methanomicrobia; Methanosarcinales. The record is from RNAcentral.